GACGAACGCUGGCGGCGUGCUUAACACAUGCAAGUCGAACGGAAAGGCCCUGCUUUUGUGGGGUGCUCGAGUGGCGAACGGGUGAGUAACACGUGAGUAACCUGCCCUUGACUUUGGGAUAACUUCAGGAAACUGGGGCUAAUACCGGAUAGGAGCUCCUGCUGCAUGGUGGGGGUUGGAAAGUUUCGGCGGUUGGGGAUGGACUCGCGGCUUAUCAGCUUGUUGGUGGGGUAGUGGAUUACCAAGGCUUUGACGGGUAGCCGGCCUGAGAGGGUGACCGGCCACAUUGGGACUGAGAUACGGCCCGGACUCCUACGGGAGGCAGCAGUGGGGAAUAUUGCACAAUGGGCGGAAGCCUGAUGCAGCAACGCCGCGUGCGGGAUGACGGCCUUCGGGUUGUAAACCGCUUUCGCCUGUGACGAAGCGUGAGUGACGGUAAUGGGUAAAGAAGCACCGGCUAACUACGUG
This 468-nucleotide ribosomal RNA is filed under the name uncultured bacterium. Its description in RNAcentral is "partial 16S ribosomal RNA". It matches the Rfam family "Bacterial small subunit ribosomal RNA", at positions 28 to 507 of the family's 1533-position model. The record is from RNAcentral.